This 253-nucleotide ribosomal RNA is filed under the name uncultured Bacteroides sp. Its description in RNAcentral is "partial 16S ribosomal RNA". It matches the Rfam family "Bacterial small subunit ribosomal RNA", at positions 524 to 776 of the family's 1533-position model. The record is from RNAcentral. Lineage: Bacteria; Pseudomonadati; Bacteroidota; Bacteroidia; Bacteroidales; Bacteroidaceae.
UACGGAGGAUCCGAGCGUUAUCCGGAUUUAUUGGGUUUAAAGGGAGCGUAGGCGGAAGCUUAAGUCAGUUGUGAAAGUUUGCGGCUCAACCGUAAAAUUGCAGUUGAUACUGGGUUUCUUGAGUGCAGUAGAGGUAGGCGGAAUAAGUUAAGUAGCGGUGAAAUGCUUAGAUAUAACUUAGAACUCCGAUAGCGAAGGCAGCUUACCAGACUGCGACUGACGCUGAAGCACGAGAGCGUGGGUAGCGAACAGG